This is a long non-coding RNA of Polypterus senegalus (gray bichir), 281 nucleotides long. RefSeq lists it as uncharacterized. The transcript is spliced from 3 exons. Lineage: Eukaryota; Metazoa; Chordata; Cladistia; Polypteriformes; Polypteridae. The record is from RefSeq and is a predicted model, not a curated record.
UUGUGGAAAUAAAUACUCAUCCAAAGACGUUUAAAUUCAUGGAACUGGAGUCGAUUCUAAUAACGCUGGAUGCGAGGAACUGUGAAAAAACAACUACUAAGUAACAACAUGGAAAACAAAAUAGGAGGGAACCCGAAAACAGAGUAAAACAAAAUCAGAAAACACCUUACAUAUUGCAGGCGAGGGGUGAAAAAACCCAGCUGAAAUGUUCAGGCUGUCGUGGAUGAAAACGAAGAGGAAACGGAGUACUUUUGAGGUCGCCUAAAUAAAAAUAAAACUUG